UGCUUUCGAUAGAGUUGUUGUGGAC
This 25-nucleotide non-coding RNA is filed under the name Drosophila melanogaster (fruit fly). Lineage: Eukaryota; Metazoa; Arthropoda; Insecta; Diptera; Drosophilidae. The record is from RNAcentral.